This 285-nucleotide ribosomal RNA is filed under the name uncultured bacterium. RNAcentral describes it as "partial 16S ribosomal RNA". It matches the Rfam family "Bacterial small subunit ribosomal RNA", at positions 333 to 635 of the family's 1533-position model. The record is from RNAcentral.
AACUUCCUACGGGGCGCAGCAGUGGGGAAUAUUGCACAAUGGGGGAAACCCUGAUGCAGCGACGCCGCGUGAGUGGAGAAGUAUUUCGGUAUGUAAAGCUCUAUCAGCAGGGAAGAAAAUGACGGUACCUGACUAAGAAGCCCCGGCUAACUACGUGCCAGCAGCCGCGGUAAUACGUAGGGGGCAAGCGUUAUCCGGAUUUACUGGGUGUAAAGGGAGCGUAGACGGCAGAGCAAGUCUGAAGUGAAAGCCCGCGGCCCAACUACGGGACGGCUUUGGAAACUG